ACGUCAUUGCUUUCACAUACCUGAACUAUCACAAAUGGGAGUCAUCGUUCGAUGUGUGUUGACAAAGAACGUUUAAAAUGCAUUGACGGUCUAGUUAAUUCAAUUCAGAAUUGUUUUUGGUUUACUCCAUUUGGAUAAAGAUUAAAACGGUCAGACGACAUGAAAUUCUUUCACUAUGUAGUCUUAUUUUUUAUGAUUGCAUCUGCUUUUGCAGCAUUGCCACCUCCACCAUGCUUCUAUUGGAAGAUUAUCAAAGGGCAUGCAGAAGCUGAGUGUAAAAAUGAUGGUGAUUUUAAGCCGAUUCAGUGUCAAUAUGGGAAAUGUCGCUGUGUGAACUUCUACGGCCAGCAACUCACUGAACCUCAAGAAGGAAUACCUGAUUGUUCAGGCACCGAUUAUCGAACGUACAUUAUUGGUUUAGAUUCUUAUUCAAGAAAAACUUUAUAAAUAAAGAAAUUAUACAAAAAUCUUGUAUUAUAUAAGUCUACAAUUUCAAUCUGGUCCGUUGAAAAUACUGUUGCAUCAACCGCAAAAUCUUA
This is a long non-coding RNA of Parasteatoda tepidariorum (common house spider), 539 nucleotides long. RefSeq lists it as uncharacterized. The record is from RefSeq and is a predicted model, not a curated record. Lineage: Eukaryota; Metazoa; Arthropoda; Arachnida; Araneae; Theridiidae.